AGCGUACACGGUGGAUGCCCUGGCAGUCAGAGGCGAUGAAGGACGUGCUAAUCUGCGAUAAGCGUCGGUAAGGUGAUAUGAACCGUUAUAACCGGCGAUUUCCGAAUGGGGAAACCCAGUGUGAUUCGUCACACUAUCAUUAACUGAAUCCAUAGGUUAAUGAGGCGAACCGGGGGAACUGAAACAUCUAAGUACCCCGAGGAAAAGAAAUCAACCGAGAUUCCCCCAGUAGCGGCGAGCGAACGGGGAGGAGCCCAGAGCCUGAAUCAGUGUGUGUGUUAGUGGAAGCGUCUGGAAAGGCGCGCGAUACAGGGUGACAGCCCCGUACACAAAAAUGCACAUGCUGUGAGCUCGAUGAGUAGGGCGGGACACGUGGUAUCCUGUCUGAAUAUGGGGGGACCAUCCUCCAAGGCUAAAUACUCCUGACUGACCGAUAGUGAACCAGUACCGUGAGGGAAAGGCGAAAAGAACCCCGGCGAGGGGAGUGAAAAAGAACCUGAAACCGUGUACGUACAAGCAGUGGGAGCACAGAGCAAUCUGUGUGACUGCGUACCUUUUGUAUAAUGGGUCAGCGACUUAUAUUCUGUAGCAAGGUUAACCGAAUAGGGGAGCCGAAGGGAAACCGAGUCUUAACUGGGCGUUAAGUUGCAGGGUAUAGACCCGAAACCCGGUGAUCUAGCCAUGGGCAGGUUGAAGGUUGGGUAACACUAACUGGAGGACCGAACCGACUAAUGUUGAAAAAUUAGCGGAUGACUUGUGGCUGGGGGUGAAAGGCCAAUCAAACCGGGAGAUAGCUGGUUCUCCCCGAAAGCUAUUUAGGUAGCGCCUCGUGAAUUCAUCUCCGGGGGUAGAGCACUGUUUCGGCAAGGGGGUCAUCCCGACUUACCAACCCGAUGCAAACUGCGAAUACCGGAGAAUGUUAUCACGGGAGACACACGGCGGGUGCUAACGUCCGUCGUGAAGAGGGAAACAACCCAGACCGCCAGCUAAGGUCCCAAAGUCAUGGUUAAGUGGGAAACGAUGUGGGAAGGCCCAGACAGCCAGGAUGUUGGCUUAGAAGCAGCCAUCAUUUAAAGAAAGCGUAAUAGCUCACUGGUCGAGUCGGCCUGCGCGGAAGAUGUAACGGGGCUAAACCAUGCACCGAAGCUGCGGCAGCGACGCUGAUGCGUUGUUGGGUAGGGGAGCGUUCUGUAAGCCUGCGAAGGUGUGCUGUGAGGCAUGCUGGAGGUAUCAGAAGUGCGAAUGCUGACAUAAGUAACGAUAAAGCGGGUGAAAAGCCCGCUCGCCGGAAGACCAAGGGUUCCUGUCCAACGUUAAUCGGGGCAGGGUGAGUCGACCCCUAAGGCGAGGCCGAAAGGCGUAGUCGAUGGGAAACAGGUUAAUAUUCCUGUACUUGGUGUUACUGCGAAGGGGGGACGGAGAAGGCUAUGUUGGCCGGGCGACGGUUGUCCCGGUUUAAGCGUGUAGGCUGGUUUUCCAGGCAAAUCCGGAAAAUCAAGGCUGAGGCGUGAUGACGAGGCACUACGGUGCUGAAGCAACAAAUGCCCUGCUUCCAGGAAAAGCCUCUAAGCAUCAGGUAACAUCAAAUCGUACCCCAAACCGACACAGGUGGUCAGGUAGAGAAUACCAAGGCGCUUGAGAGAACUCGGGUGAAGGAACUAGGCAAAAUGGUGCCGUAACUUCGGGAGAAGGCACGCUGAUAUGUAGGUGAAGUCCCUCGCGGAUGGAGCUGAAAUCAGUCGAAGAUACCAGCUGGCUGCAACUGUUUAUUAAAAACACAGCACUGUGCAAACACGAAAGUGGACGUAUACGGUGUGACGCCUGCCCGGUGCCGGAAGGUUAAUUGAUGGGGUUAGCGCAAGCGAAGCUCUUGAUCGAAGCCCCGGUAAACGGCGGCCGUAACUAUAACGGUCCUAAGGUAGCGAAAUUCCUUGUCGGGUAAGUUCCGACCUGCACGAAUGGCGUAAUGAUGGCCAGGCUGUCUCCACCCGAGACUCAGUGAAAUUGAACUCGCUGUGAAGAUGCAGUGUACCCGCGGCAAGACGGAAAGACCCCGUGAACCUUUACUAUAGCUUGACACUGAACAUUGAGCCUUGAUGUGUAGGAUAGGUGGGAGGCUUUGAAGUGUGGACGCCAGUCUGCAUGGAGCCGACCUUGAAAUACCACCCUUUAAUGUUUGAUGUUCUAACGUUGACCCGUAAUCCGGGUUGCGGACAGUGUCUGGUGGGUAGUUUGACUGGGGCGGUCUCCUCCUAAAGAGUAACGGAGGAGCACGAAGGUUGGCUAAUCCUGGUCGGACAUCAGGAGGUUAGUGCAAUGGCAUAAGCCAGCUUGACUGCGAGCGUGACGGCGCGAGCAGGUGCGAAAGCAGGUCAUAGUGAUCCGGUGGUUCUGAAUGGAAGGGCCAUCGCUCAACGGAUAAAAGGUACUCCGGGGAUAACAGGCUGAUACCGCCCAAGAGUUCAUAUCGACGGCGGUGUUUGGCACCUCGAUGUCGGCUCAUCACAUCCUGGGGCUGAAGUAGGUCCCAAGGGUAUGGCUGUUCGCCAUUUAAAGUGGUACGCGAGCUGGGUUUAGAACGUCGUGAGACAGUUCGGUCCCUAUCUGCCGUGGGCGCUGGAGAACUGAGGGGGGCUGCUCCUAGUACGAGAGGACCGGAGUGGACGCAUCACUGGUGUUCGGGUUGUCAUGCCAAUGGCACUGCCCGGUAGCUAAAUGCGGAAGAGAUAAGUGCUGAAAGCAUCUAAGCACGAAACUUGCCCCGAGAUGAGUUCUCCCUGACUCCUUGA
Molecule: ribosomal RNA, 2789 nt
Filed under: Escherichia coli
Lineage: Bacteria; Pseudomonadati; Pseudomonadota; Gammaproteobacteria; Enterobacterales; Enterobacteriaceae
Description: bacterial LSU rRNA
Rfam family: Bacterial large subunit ribosomal RNA
Source: RNAcentral